UACAGAGGGGGCAAGCGUUGUUCGGAAUUACUGGGCGUAAAGGGCGCGUAGGCGGCGACCCAAGUCAGAUGUGAAAGUCCUGGGCUUAACCUGGGGACUGCAUUUGAUACUGGGUUGCUUGAAUUCGGGAGAGGAUAGCGGAAUUCCCAGUGUAGAGGUGAAAUUCGUAGAUAUUGGGAAGAACACCGGUGGCGAAGGCGGCUAUCUGGACCGACAUUGACGCUGAGGCGCGAAAGCGUGGGGAGCAAACAGG
This 253-nucleotide ribosomal RNA is filed under the name uncultured bacterium. RNAcentral describes it as "partial 16S ribosomal RNA". It matches the Rfam family "Bacterial small subunit ribosomal RNA", at positions 524 to 776 of the family's 1533-position model. The record is from RNAcentral.